UUAAAGAAAGGUAGAGAGAAAAUAUUUGAAGGGCUAAGGAAAUUUCAAAGUAUUUUAUAGAUGGAAAGCUAGUCCAUUAAAGGCAGAGGACAUGGCUUAUGGCAAGGGUACAUGCAUCCAUCUUCAUCCCUCAUAGCGCCUUGUGUUGGGAGAUAGGCCAUACAGUAUCUUAUAAAGUGGCAGAGAUAGAUAGGCCUAAAGAGAGAGUGGUGGAAUUGGGAACACAGAGGCAAGUGGGAGAAGGAAUCUGAGUGCAAGAAAUUCGGACAAUGGCAGCUAAGUGUGUUUGUCCCACGAACACCAAAUUGUCCUUUCAUUCUGGGGACAAGCUUGGGACAAACCUUAGCCGCCCGUAUUGAAGACCGUGGCUCCCAAUCCAACGAUUUAAGAUGCACUCCAUGAUUUCCCCGUGGAGACACGAUCAACCGUUGGAUCAAAACAAUGGAGGUUGAGUGCAGCCCAUGUGAGUUGGUCCCACAUGGAUUGUCGUUGAUGAUCAGGGCGGGGCAGGGCAUGGCAAAGGGUGUGCGACCUUAUUAAGGGCUUUUAAUUCGAGUCGUAACCUCAGGGCAUACUUAACAUUGUGGGUAUGGUCAAGCUCCAUGAGCCUUUGCUCUGCUCUUCCUCGACAUUGUUAGCUGUUUCUUCAUUACUAUUUUCAUUUAUUAGGAGGCCAGACCAGCUAUGAUUAAUGGGUACCAAACAAAAAUAGUGAUAUCACAGACUCACCUCUCUAUA
Ricinus communis (castor bean) is the source of this 738-nucleotide long non-coding RNA. RefSeq lists it as uncharacterized. NCBI's taxonomy places the organism in Eukaryota, Viridiplantae, Streptophyta, Magnoliopsida, Malpighiales, Euphorbiaceae. The record is from RefSeq and is a predicted model, not a curated record. The transcript is spliced from 2 exons.